AGAGUUUGAUCCUGGCUCAGGACGAACGCUGGCGGCGUGCCUAACACAUGCAAGUCGAGCGAGGAGAUUCCUUUCGGGGAUGAACCUAGCGGCGGACGGGUGAGUAACACGUGGGCAACCUGCCUUAUAGAGGGGAAUAGCCUUCCGAAAGGAAGAUUAAUACCGCAUAAGAUUACAUCUUCGCAUGAAGGAGUAAUUAAAGGAGCAAUCCGCUAUAAGAUGGGCCCGCGGCGCAUUAGCUAGUUGGUGAGGUAACGGCUCACCAAGGCGACGAUGCGUAGCCGACCUGAGAGGGUGAUCGGCCACAUUGGGACUGAGACACGGCCCAGACUCCUACGGGAGGCAGCAGUGGGGAAUAUUGCACAACGGGGGAAACCCUGAUGCAGCAACGCCGCGUGAGUGAUGAAGGUCUUCGGAUCGUAAAGCUCUGUCUUCAGGGACGAUAAUGACGGUACCUGAGGAGGAAGCCACGGCUAACUACGUGCCAGCAGCCGCGGUAAUACGUAGGUGGCGAGCGUUGUCCGGAUUUACUGGGCGUAAAGGGAGCGUAGGCGGAUUUUUAAGUGAGAUGUGAAAUACCCGGGCUCAACUUGGGUGCUGCAUUUCAAACUGGAAGUCUAGAGUGCAGGAGAGGAGAGUGGAAUUCCUAGUGUAGCGGUGAAAUGCGUAGAGAUUAGGAAGAACACCAGUGGCGAAGGCGACUCUCU
Molecule: ribosomal RNA, 707 nt
Filed under: Clostridium sp. enrichment culture clone VN_TX2-19
Lineage: Bacteria; Bacillati; Bacillota; Clostridia; Eubacteriales; Clostridiaceae
Description: bacterial SSU rRNA
Rfam family: Bacterial small subunit ribosomal RNA
Source: RNAcentral